UGGGGAAUUUUGCACAAUGGGGGAAACCCUGAUGCAGCGACGCCGCGUGAUUUAGAAGGCCUUCGGGUUGUAAAAAUCUUUUCUAUGGGAAGAAAAUGACAGUACCAUAGGAAUAAGGACCGGCUAAUUACGUGCCAGCAGCCGCGGUAAUACGUAAGGUCCGAGCGUUGUCCGGAAUCAUUGGGCGUAAAGGGUACGUAGGCGGGUAAGCAAAUUAGAAGUGAAAUCCUAUAGCUCAACUAUAGUAAGCUUUUAAAACUGCUCAUCUUGAGGUAUGGAAGGGAAAGUGGAAGUCCUAGUGUAGCGGUGAAAUGCGCAGAUAUUAGGAGGAAUACCGGUGGCGAAGGCGACUCUCUGGCCAUAACCUGACGCUGAGGUACGAAAGCGUGGGUAGCAAACAGG
This 402-nucleotide ribosomal RNA is filed under the name bacterium. RNAcentral describes it as "partial 16S ribosomal RNA". It matches the Rfam family "Bacterial small subunit ribosomal RNA", at positions 355 to 776 of the family's 1533-position model. The record is from RNAcentral.